RNAcentral lists this long non-coding RNA (298 nucleotides) under Vigna radiata. RNAcentral's name for it is "long non-coding RNA (VRAD_LNC009045)". Lineage: Eukaryota; Viridiplantae; Streptophyta; Magnoliopsida; Fabales; Fabaceae. The record is from RNAcentral.
AACAAAAUUAAAACCUGGAUUUGACCAUUGCCUUGCAGAGGGCCAAAAUCACAGAAGAAAAACAUAAAUUUGACCAUUGCGAAGCAGAGGGCCGAUAACAAAAUUAAAACCUGGAUUUGACCAUUGCCUUGCAGAGGGCCAAAAUCGCAGAAGGAAAACUUAAAUUUGACCAUUGCGAAGCAAAGGGCCGAUAACAAAAAGAAAAACUUGAGCUUAAGGUGCCAGGCGAACUGGGCUUUGGGUGCCAGAAUAAACUGGGCUUUUGUGGGCCAGGUGAAACUGGGCUUAUGUGGGCCCG